This 494-nucleotide ribosomal RNA is filed under the name uncultured bacterium. RNAcentral's name for it is "partial 16S ribosomal RNA". It matches the Rfam family "Bacterial small subunit ribosomal RNA", at positions 28 to 507 of the family's 1533-position model. The record is from RNAcentral.
GACGAACGCUGGCGGCGUGCUUAACACAUGCAAGUCGAACGGUGAAGCGCCUUCCUUUUUGGUGGGUGUGGAUGAGUGGCGAACGGGUGAGUAACACGUGAGUAACCUGCCCCCUUCUUCUGGAUAACCGCAUGAAAGUGUGGCUAAUACGGGAUAUUCUGGGUCUGUCGCAUGAUGGGUCUGGGAAAGAUAUUGUUUCGGUGGGGGAUGGGCUCGCGGCCUAUCAGCUUGUUGGUGGGGUGAUGGCCUACCAAGGCGGUGACGGGUAGCCGGCCUGGGAGGGUGGACGGUCACACUGGGGCUGAGGCACGGCCCAGACUCCUACGGGAGGCAGCAGUGGGGAAUAUUGCACAAUGGGCGCAAGCCUGAUGCAGCGACGCCGCGUGAGGGAUGGAGGCCUUCGGGUUGUGAACCCCUUUCGCCAGUGAAGCAGGCCUGCCUCGUUUGUGGGUGGGUUGACGGUAGCUGGAUAAGAAGCGCCGGCUAACUACGUG